UUGAACGAAGGCCCUGGCUUGCCAGGUGUCCUUAGUGGCGCACGGGUGAGUAACGCGUGGGAAUCUGCCCAAGAGUGGGGAAUAACUAUUGGAAACGAUAGCUAAUACCGCAUACGCCCUCCGGGGGAAAGGCUUCGGCCGCUCAUGGAUGAUCCCGCGUCUGAUUAGCUUGUUGGUGAGGUAACGGCUCACCAAGGCGACGAUCAGUAGCUGGUCUGAGAGGAUGAUCAGCCACACUGGGACUGAGACACGGCCCAGACUCC
RNAcentral lists this ribosomal RNA (263 nucleotides) under unidentified marine bacterioplankton. RNAcentral describes it as "partial 16S ribosomal RNA". It matches the Rfam family "Bacterial small subunit ribosomal RNA", at positions 62 to 339 of the family's 1533-position model. RNAcentral also lists the same sequence under 1 other name. The record is from RNAcentral.